UUUAUUGAGAGUUUGAUCCUGGCUCAGAACGAACGCUGGCGGCGUGGAUUAGGCAUGCAAGUCGAGCGGGAUCGUCAGGCUUCAAUCCUUCGGGAGAGAAACCUGACGUGAGAGCGGCGAACGGGUGAGUAACGCUUGAACAACCUGCCCUUCAGUCCGGAAUAGCCCACCGAAAGGUGGAUUAAUGCCGGAUGUGUUCCUCCUGCGCAUGCAGGACUGUGUAAAGACGGGAUUUAUCCUGUCGCUGAAGGAUGGGUUCGAGUCCUAUCAGCUUGUUGGUGAGGUAACGGCUCACCAAGGCGAUGACGGGUAGCCGGCCUGAGAGGGUGAUCGGCCACACUGGGACUGAGACACUGCCCAGACUCCUACGGGAGGCUGCAGUCGAGAAUCAUUCGCAAUGCGCGAAAGCGUGACGAUGCGACGCCGCGUGGAGGACGAAGGCCCUAGGGUCGUAAACUCCUGUCAGCAGGGAACAAGGGGCACGGGCUAAUACCCCGCAGCUCUUGAUGGUACCUGCAGAGGAAGUCACGGCUAACUCUGUGCCAGCAGCCGCGGUAAUACAGAGGUGGCUAGCGUUGUUCGGAUUUACUGGGCGUAAAGGGUCCGCAGGCGGCCCCGCAUGUCGGAUGUGAAAGCUCACGGCUCAACCGUGGAACGGCAUUCGAAACUGUGGGGCUAGAGUCCGGGAGAGGAGAGGGGAAUUCUUGGUGUAGCGGUGAAAUGCGUAGAUAUCAAGAAGAACGCCGGUGGCGAAAGCGCCUCUCUGGACCGGUACUGACGCUCAUGGACGAAAGCCGGGGGAGCGAAAGGGAUUAGAUACCCCUGUAGUCCCGGCUGUAAACGGUGUGCACUUGUCGUGGGAGGACUACCCCCUUCCGUGACGAAGCUAACGCGUUAAGUGCACCGCCUGGGGAGUACGGCCGCAAGGCUAAAACUCAAAGGAAUUGACGGGGGCCCGCACAAGCGGUGGAGCAUGUGGCUUAAUUCGAUGCAACGCGAAGAACCUUACCUGGGUUUGACAUGCAGCUGCAAGCCCCUGAAAGGGGGUCGCCUUCGAGGGUGCUGCACAGGUGCUGCAUGGCUGUCGUCAGCUCGUGCCGUGAGGUGUUGGGUUAAGUCCCGCAACGAGCGCAACCCCUAUGUUUAGUUGCCAUCGGUUCGGCCGGGCACUCUAGACAGACUGCCUCGGUUAACGGGGAGGAAGGUGGGGAUGACGUCAAGUCCGUAUGGUCCUUAUGCCCAGGGCUGCACACGUGCUACAAUGGCCGGUCUAGUGGGAUGCAAUACUGCGAAGUGGAGCAAAUCCUUAAAGCCGGCCCCAGUUCGGAUCGGGGUCUGCAACUCGACCCCGUGAAGUCGGAAUCGCUAGUAAAGGCGUAUCAGCAAUGGCGCCUUGAAUACGUUCCCGGGCCUUGUACACACCGCCCGUCACAUCAUGAGAGUCGGCUGCACCCGAAGUCGCCGGUCCAACCCGUUCAGGGAGGAAGGCGCCGAAGGUGUGGCAGAUAAUUGGGAUGAAGUCGUAACAAGGUAGCCGUAGGGGAACCUGUGGCUGGAUCACCUCCUUU
This is a ribosomal RNA of Kiritimatiella glycovorans, 1568 nucleotides long. It matches the Rfam family "Bacterial small subunit ribosomal RNA". The record is from Rfam. NCBI's taxonomy places the organism in Bacteria, Pseudomonadati, Kiritimatiellota, Kiritimatiellia, Kiritimatiellales, Kiritimatiellaceae.